RNAcentral lists this signal recognition particle RNA (264 nucleotides) under Sporofaciens musculi. RNAcentral's name for it is "Bacterial large signal recognition particle RNA". It matches the Rfam family "Bacterial large signal recognition particle RNA". Rfam says of the family: The signal recognition particle (SRP) is a universally conserved ribonucleoprotein involved in the co-translational targeting of proteins to membranes. Archaeal SRP consists of a 7S RNA and homologues of the eukaryotic SRP19 and SRP54 proteins. The record is from Rfam by way of RNAcentral. Lineage: Bacteria; Bacillati; Bacillota; Clostridia; Lachnospirales; Lachnospiraceae.
UUGUGCAGCCGGGGUGCUAGCGGUACCUUGUACCUGCAAUCCGCUAUAGCAGGGGUGAUAUUGCGCAGAGGGCACAGGUUUGUAGAGCUGCCCUUGAUAAGUGGCGAUGAGGCUUGGGUCUUACGCGACGGAAAUCUGUGAAUCGUGUCAGGUCGGGAACGAAGCAGCACUAAGCAGAACCUUUCGGGUGCCGUGAGGGUGCCUGGGCUGAGUUUACUGUCAAGGUAACGUCUGGGAAUCUGCGUUCGGAAGCGCAAUGCACAA